RNAcentral lists this ribosomal RNA (470 nucleotides) under uncultured bacterium. RNAcentral's name for it is "bacterial SSU rRNA". It matches the Rfam family "Bacterial small subunit ribosomal RNA", at positions 28 to 507 of the family's 1533-position model. The record is from RNAcentral.
GGUUAACGCUGGCGGCGUGCCUAACACAUGCAAGUCGAACGGUUCUAAGCGCGAGCUUAGGAUAGUGGCGAACGGGUGAGUAAAAAGGUAGGAAUCUACCCCUUGGACGGAGAUAGCUACUGGAAACGGUAGGUAAACUUCGAUAAGCCCGAGAGGGGAAAGUGGUGAGACAGCCGAGGGAUGAGCCUACUCUCCAUCAGGUAGUUGGUGAGAUAAAAGCUUACCAAGCCGAUGACGGAUAACCGGUGUGAGAGCAUGAACGGUCACAAGGGCACUGAGAGACGGGCCCUACUCCUACGGGAGGCAGCAGUGGGGAAUUUUGGACAAUGGGCGAAAGCCUGAUCCAGCCAUUCCGCGUGCAGGAUGAAGGCCCUCGGGUUGUAAACUGCUUUUGUACAGAACGAAAAAGCUCUGGCUAAUACCUGGAGUCCAUGACGGUACUGUAAGAAUAAGCACCGGCUAACUACGUG